RNAcentral lists this ribosomal RNA (495 nucleotides) under uncultured bacterium. RNAcentral's name for it is "partial 16S ribosomal RNA". It matches the Rfam family "Bacterial small subunit ribosomal RNA", at positions 28 to 507 of the family's 1533-position model. The record is from RNAcentral.
GAUGAACGCUGGCGGCGUGCCUAAUACAUGCAAGUCGAGCGAACAGACGAGGAGCUUGCUCCUCUGACGUUAGCGGCGGACGGGUGAGUAACACGUGGAUAACCUACCUAUAAGACUGGGAUAACUUCGGGAAACCGGAGCUAAUACCGGAUAAUAUAUUGAACCGCAUGGUUCAAUAGUGAAAGACGGUUGCUGUCACUUAUAGAUGGAUCCGCGCCGCAUUAGCUAGUUGGUAAGGUAACGGCUUACCAAGGCAACGAUGCGUAGCCGACCUGAGAGGGUGAUCGGCCACACUGGAACUGAGACACGGUCCAGACUCCUACGGGAGGCAGCAGUAGGGAAUCUUCCGCAAUGGGCGAAAGCCUGACGGAGCAACGCCGCGUGAGUGAUGAAGGUCUUCGGAUCGUAAAACUCUGUUAUUAGGGAAGAACAAAUGUGUAAGUAACUAUGCACGUCUUGACGGUACCUAAUCAGAAAGCCACGGCUAACUACGUG